Molecule: ribosomal RNA, 468 nt
Filed under: uncultured bacterium
Lineage: Bacteria
Description: partial 16S ribosomal RNA
Rfam family: Bacterial small subunit ribosomal RNA
Source: RNAcentral
GACGAACGCUGGCGGCGUGCUUAACACAUGCAAGUCGAACGGUGAUGCUCCAGCUUGCUGGAGUGGAUCAGUGGCGAACGGGCGAGUAACACGUGAGCAACCUGCCCCAGACUCUGGAAUAAGCGCUGGAAACGGCGUCUAAUACUGGAUACGAAACUGGCCCGCAUGGGCAUGGUUUGGAAAGUUUUUCGGUUUGGGAUGGGCUCGCGGCCUAUCAGCUUGUUGGUGAGGUAAUGGCUCACCAAGGCGACGACGGGUAGCCGGCCUGAGAGGGCGACCGGCCACACUGGGACUGAGACACGGCCCAGACUCCUACGGGAGGCAGCAGUGGGGAAUAUUGCACAAUGGGCGAAAGCCUGAUGCAGCGACGCCGCGUGAGGGAUGACGGCCUUCGGGUUGUAAACCUCUUUCAGCAGGGAAGAAGCGAAAGUGACGGUACCUGCAGAAGAAGCACCGGCUAACUACGUG